This 230-nucleotide ribosomal RNA is filed under the name uncultured bacterium. Its description in RNAcentral is "partial 16S ribosomal RNA". It matches the Rfam family "Bacterial small subunit ribosomal RNA", at positions 568 to 797 of the family's 1533-position model. The record is from RNAcentral.
UACGUAGGCGGAAAAUUAAGUCAGUAGUGAAAUCCCGCAGCUUAACUGUGGAACUGUUAUUGAUACUGGUUUUCUUGAAUAUAGUUGAGGUAGGCGGAAUGUGUAAUGUAGCGGUGAAAUGCUUAGAUAUUACACAGAACACCGAUUGCGAAGGCAGCUUACUAAGCUAUGAUUGACGCUGAGGUACGAAAGCGUGGGGAGCGAACAGGAUUAGAUACCCUGGUAGUCCC